CUUGGGUACCAGGUUUCUAAAUGCUGUGCACAGCACCGACCCUUCGGCCUCGCGCUCUCCGAAAUUCCAUGCACACACAGACUCGCAGGCCAUGGAUUCAUCACAAGAGUGGCCCUGCCUGCCUGCCUGCCUGCCUGCCAUCUGCCCCCACGGACACCAUGGUCCAGCACCGCAUUCCAGGACUUGCCCCAUUCUCAUCCACCUCCUCCUCCAUCACUACCUCGCCGAUUUUCAACUUUUAGCUUGAGCUGUGUGCACACACUGCUGCUCAGCAGACCAGUCCGGAGGCAGGAGAAGGAGUAAGAGGAGGGCACUCUCGUAGCAGAUGGAUUCGGUGGCGUCGUCAUGAGGCGGAAGGCCUCCUGGGAUGAUGUUGUUGCGGUUUGGUGUUCUGGUGCCGGAGAUGUGCAGUUUCGUUUCCAGGUGGGGAUGCUUCAAGCUCGAAUUCUUCGUUUGUUGGUAGCUUUGAUAGAAUUGCAACGGUGUUGGAGGUUUCUGGCUUCGGAGUUGGGAUGGUUUCUCGGUUGCUAUAUGUUUUGGAGGAGGUUGUUGAUGUGGUGUGGAGUUACUGGAGCAAGUGUGGGGCAGGCCUAUCUGUUAGCUCGAAGAGUGGACCACUGAUGGGUCGCUUCGUUAGUUUUCCUCCAUUGCUUAUCGCCGAAGGAUGGUGGAGUCUGUAGCCGGUCAAAAUUGAGGCGUCUUUUUCGCCAAUCCAGGAGUUGUUCUUUCAACUGAGCACUUCUGUGGACGUGUAGCGGUUUUUUUUUUUUUUUAUAUUGUCACGUUAUCAGAUUUUGGAUCGCUUCCAUGUUUCUGGGAGACUGUAAAUGCUGUCUAGUUUAGACGUGUGACCUGAACCGGUCGAUAAGAUGAGUGGGUGCCAUGCCAGAUAUGGAUCAAACUCCAAAGACAAUUGCUCCCCCAACCACUCGACGUCGAUAUUAUACUUCGUCUCCACAAUCUCGGCCAUGGUUGCAUUAGGGUGCGUUACUGUGAUCUUUUUCUGUUGCAUUUACUACAAGCGGCGUAGGAUUACCGAGCGGCUUCGAAACGCUCGCAGUAGAGCACAACAAACGGGAUCCGACCCCGUCAUGUACGUUUGGCCGGGCACUGCAAGGGAGACACUGGGAACUGGAUCCGGAUCUGCAGAUGGAGCUCGCGAUACGCAAGCCACUUCCAAUCCCGGAGGCAAUGUUUCCAAGGAGAUUGUUGCAGGAGUUGAGCCUGUGUCGUGCGUGAUCAUGGCGGGGGAAGACCGUCCCACGCACUUGGCACGGCCCUUGCCGAGGGAGGAGUUCAUCGACGUAUUUUUGGGCGACAAAUUGGACGGUCUGGAGCGAGGAAAACGAAGAGAACCAUGAGAACUAGUGACGACAUGGGUAUUGGCAUUUUUGGGGAAGCACCAUCUUGAGGUGAUUGCGAUUCAAUUGUUCUGUGCACAGCUUCGAUUGUGGCGAAAGAGAUUAGUCAAUUAGCGGGAUGGACAUGUUCCAAGCAUGUCUUGUCCAUAAAGAGCACGGUUCAUCUAUGAAAUCCUUGCCACUGCGAGAUCAAUCGGAAGCUGUAGAUGCCGUCGUUUGUGCGGCAUUAAUGUCCAAUAGUGGUCUGUGAAUACGUAAACUGCGUACAUAAAGAGAUUUGACAUUCCAAAGGCUUCGUUAAGGAUCUUGGUUUCUAAAGUUCAGGUGACGAAUCCUGUUCCCCAAAAAACGUAUCGAGGCGAUGGUUUGUUCCAGCCUUUUACGAGAAAGAUCUGCUUGGCACUGAUUGUUUGCAGUAGAUUCGAAGAGCUUAUUGAGCGGGUUCAAUAGAAUUUAAUCGCGCGUGCGAACCUUUGUCUGAGACAAAAGCUGGCGGGCCGUGAGGCUAACCAGCUUGGGGAUUGCGUGUGGAACAUGUACGUAUAACCACAAGGAGUGGUUGUAAACUAAAUCAUGUAUCCAGGUUCGUGUGAGUGCAGAUGAAGGAUCGCAAUCGAAGCUCUACACGUUACGUCUACGGGUGUGGAGCAGCACAUAUGGCGUGAUACUCCUGGACCACCUUAAGUACACGCCCCUGCAAGUAAAUUUUUUUGAACAAGGAGAUUCGGUGGCAACUCCUAGUGUUUCCAGUCGCAAUAAAAACACCUCAGAAAAUAAUUACAGAAUGGAAGGUAGGAUCUCCGAACACUUCUCACUGGAGGCGCAUGUUUUGAAAGUGGUGUACCUGACAGAACCCUCCAUAACUGUAGCUGUUGCUGUGUGAACCUUCGAGCACUUUUCACACAGGAGAGAAAGAAACCCUUAGACCUCUUUUCCCGUUCUGGACGAUGAAGCUGCAAAAGCUGUGUGUGGGCUGUCACUCCUCAACAUGAAGCUUGAAGUGAAGGAAGACGGUAUCAUUUUAGAUGAUGAAGUAUAGUCAUAGCCGGCCAGAAGCUGCAGUGUGGCAUUAGUUCGAGACAAGAAAGUACAACUGAUCAGUCCGUGAAGUUGACCCAGAAUUUCAUGCGGUGCUUUCAUAGCCACUACAGAAAAGUGGCUCAAUAAACAGAGAUCAGGUGCAGACAUACAUUUCUACUUCAAUGAGCACGUACAGACAGAAACUUCAGUUGCAAGUGCUUAUUCUUUGCAUUCCAAUGGCAUGAAAUAAAAUCAACACGAACUAUCUGAAGCAUUCAAGAAA
Molecule: non-coding RNA, 2664 nt
Organism: Physcomitrium patens
Lineage: Eukaryota; Viridiplantae; Streptophyta; Bryopsida; Funariales; Funariaceae
Source: RefSeq, a predicted model, not a curated record